This 556-nucleotide long non-coding RNA is filed under the name Homo sapiens (human). RNAcentral describes it as "HSALNT0327984". Lineage: Eukaryota; Metazoa; Chordata; Mammalia; Primates; Hominidae. The record is from RNAcentral.
UCCGCCUUCCAGGUUCAGGCCAUUCUCCCGCCUCAGCUUCCCGAGUAGCUGGGACUACAGGCGCCCGCCACCACGCCAGGUUAAUUUUUUGUAUUUUUAGUAGAGACGGGGUUUCACCGUGUUAGCCAGCAUGGUCUCGAUCUCCUGACCUCGUGAUCUGCCCGCCUCGGCCUCCCAAAUUACAAGGAAGACACAGUAAGAUGUGAUCUUCUAAAGUGAAAAUUUCCCAAAGUACCAAGGAAAAGGAGAAACUGCAGAAGAGCUUCAAGAACCACAAACACUUGGGUUUUGCAUCUUGCCAGAAAAUCUGCACUGUUGGUAGAAGCCUGGGGUAGGGCUGGCAGGACCUGACUCAGCGGAGAAAAUGCCACCCACAGUCACUGACUCUGCUUCCGCAGUAGCGGAGCUCCCCUGUUUUCUCUGGAGGUUUCCCACAGCCGGGCCAAUACCCAUGUCUCUCAGAUGGGAAACUGGACUUUUGGAAAAUUGAAACUAAAUAAAGUUGUAUAACUUUUAAAAGAAGUUUACAAUUAUGAUGCUUUGCUUUUCACAUGCG